UGGCGACUUCAAAACAGUUACAGAGUUUAAUGGACAGUGAAACAGCAUCUCUCUGUCUCAGUAUGUGUAGACCAGGUAUCUGAUGCUGUCUGGACAGUGAAACAGCAUCUCUCUGUCUCAGUAUGUGUAGACCAGGUAUAUGAUGCUGUCUGGACAGUGAAACAGCAUCUCUCUGAUGCUGUCUGGACAGUGAAACAGCACCUCUCUGUCUCAGUAUGUGUAGACCAUGUAUCUGAUGCUGUCUGGUCAGUGAAACAGCAUCUCUCUGAUGCUGUCUGGACAGUGAAACAGCAUCUCUCUGAUGCUGUCUGGACAGUGAAACAGCAUCUCUCUGUCUCAGUAUGUGUAUACCAGGUAUAUGAUGCUGUCUGGACAGUGAAACAGCAUCUCUCUGAUGCUGUCUGGACAGUGAAACAGCACCUCUCUGAUGCUGUCUGGACAGUGAAACAGCACCUCUCUGUCUCAGUAUGUGUAGACCAGGUAUCUGAUGCUGUCUGGACAGUGAAACAGCACCUCUCUGUCUCAGUAUGUGUAGCCCAGGUAUCUGAUGCUGUCUGGACAGUGAAACAGCACCUCUCUGUCUCAGUAUGUGUAGACCAGGUAUCUGAUGCUGUCUGGACAGUGAAACAGCACCUCUCUGUCUCAGUAUGUGUAGCCCAGGUAUCUGAUGCUGUCUGGACAGUGAAACAGCGCCCCCUCUGUCUCAGUAUGUGUAGACCAGGUAUCUGAUGCUGUGUGGUCAGAAAGGGUACUGCAUGUCCUACUCUCUGAUGGAUGGGUUUCUUCCUCUGGUGAGAUGGUUUCAGCAAAGAGGAGAAUCCGUGGGCAGUGUGUGUGUGUGUGUGUGUGUGUGUGUGUGUGUGUGUAGUGUGUGUGUGUGUGUGUGUGUGUGUGUGUCUGUGUGUGUGUGUGUGUGUGUGUGUAGUGUGUGUGUGUGUGUGUGUGUGUGUGUGUGUGUGUGUGUGUGUAGUGUGUGUGUGUGUGUGUGUGUGUGUGUGUGUGUCUGUGUGUGUGUGUGUCUGUGUGUGUGUGUGUGUGU
RNAcentral lists this long non-coding RNA (1039 nucleotides) under Salmo salar (Atlantic salmon). Its description in RNAcentral is "lncRNA (ENSSSAG00000098933.1)". The record is from RNAcentral. Lineage: Eukaryota; Metazoa; Chordata; Actinopteri; Salmoniformes; Salmonidae.